AUGCACGCUGGCGGCGUGCCUAAUACCUGCAAGUCGCGCGCACAGACGAGGAGCUUGCUCCUCUGACGUUAGCGGCGGACGGGUGAGUAACACGUGGAUAACCUACCUAUAAGACUGGGAUAACUUCGGGAAACCGGAGCUAAUACCGGAUAAUAUAUUGAACCGCAUGGUUCAAUAGUGAAAGACGGUUUUGCUGUCACUUAUAGAUGGAUCCGCGCCGCAUUAGCUAGUUGGUAAGGUAACGGCUUACCAAGGCAACGAUGCGUAGCCGACCUGAGAGGGUGAUCGGCCACACUGGAACUGAGACACGGUCCAGACUCCUACGGGAGGCAGCAGUAGGGAAUCUUCCGCAAUGGGCGAAAGCUUGACGGAGCAACGCCGCGUGAGUGAUGAAGGUCUUCGGAUCGUAAAACUCUGUUAUUAGGGAAGAACAAAUGUGUAAGUAACUAUGCACGUCUUGACGGUACCUAAUCAGAAAGCCACGGCUAACUACGUG
This 496-nucleotide ribosomal RNA is filed under the name uncultured bacterium. RNAcentral describes it as "partial 16S ribosomal RNA". It matches the Rfam family "Bacterial small subunit ribosomal RNA", at positions 29 to 507 of the family's 1533-position model. The record is from RNAcentral.